RNAcentral lists this small RNA (457 nucleotides) under Histoplasma ohiense. Its description in RNAcentral is "hypothetical lncRNA". Lineage: Eukaryota; Fungi; Ascomycota; Eurotiomycetes; Onygenales; Ajellomycetaceae. The record is from RNAcentral.
GGUUCUUUUACACUCCAUUUCUGAAAAUUUUGGUCCCUUUACACUCCCAUUCUGAUCCUGGUCCCACUGGAAAUCACGCCAAGAAAUGGACUGGGACCAAAUCAAACCAAACCAAAUGUGAAAUUCAUGGUCCCACCGGCCAGCCUACUGCUAUCUAUAUGAUGAUUCUGUUAAUAUCAAAGAAAAAUCUAUUUUAGAUCUGUGGAGGAUGAUCAGCAGUCAGUACUCAACAGUGGCAAUGAUGACACAUGAUAUUCUGACAAUUUCAUUGGCAGGAGUUGGUAUGGAGAGAAAGUUUAACUCAAGUCAAGAUAUUUGUCACUAUUGUCAUAGUCAAUUGCAAGGAGAAACUGUAAAGAAAUUGAUGAUGGUUAAGCAUGGAAAAGAAAAAGAAAUUGUUGAUAAGAAUUCUAUUGUGGCAGAAUUCUCUUCCAAUGAUAUAGUGGAGAAAAAAAUU